RNAcentral lists this ribosomal RNA (253 nucleotides) under uncultured bacterium. RNAcentral's name for it is "partial 16S ribosomal RNA". It matches the Rfam family "Bacterial small subunit ribosomal RNA", at positions 524 to 776 of the family's 1533-position model. The record is from RNAcentral.
UACAGGGGGUGCAAACGUUGCUCGGAAUCAUUGGGCGUAAAGCGCACGUAGGCGGUUCGUUAUGUCGGAUGUGAAAGCCCUUGGCUUAACCGAGGAAGUGCAUCCGAAACUGGCGAGCUAGAGUACUAAAGAGGAUCGCGGAAUUCCCGGUGUAGAGGUGAAAUUCGUAGAUAUCAGGAGGAACACCGGUGGCGAAGGCGGUUCUCUGGGCCUGUACUGACGCUGAGGAGCGAAAGCGUGGGGAGCGAACAGG